This 440-nucleotide ribosomal RNA is filed under the name uncultured bacterium. RNAcentral describes it as "partial 16S ribosomal RNA". It matches the Rfam family "Bacterial small subunit ribosomal RNA", at positions 338 to 795 of the family's 1533-position model. The record is from RNAcentral.
CCUACGGGAGGCAGCAGUGGGGAAUAUUGCACAAUGGGGGAAACCCUGAUGCAGCGACGCCGCGUGAGUGAAGAAGUAUCUCGGUACGUAAAGCUCUAUCAGCAGGGAAGAUAAUGACGGUACCUGACCAAGAAGCGCCGGAUAACUACGUGCCAGCAGCCGCGGUUAUACGUAGGGGGCAAGCGUUAUCCGGAUUUACUGGGUGUAAAGGGAGCGUAGACGGCAGCACAAGUAUGGAGUGAAAUCCCGGGGCUUAACCCCGGAACUGCUUUGGAAACUGUGCGGCUGGAGUGCAGGAGGGGUAAGCGGAAUUCCUUGUGUAGCGGUGGAAUGCGUAGAUAUUAGGAGGAACACCAGUGGCGAAGGCGGAUUGCUAGACUUUAACUGACACUGAGGCACGAAAGCGUGGGGAGCAAACAGGAUUAGAUACCCCAGUAGUC